This is a long non-coding RNA of Sitodiplosis mosellana (orange wheat blossom midge), 2670 nucleotides long. RefSeq lists it as uncharacterized. Lineage: Eukaryota; Metazoa; Arthropoda; Insecta; Diptera; Cecidomyiidae. The transcript is spliced from 6 exons. The record is from RefSeq and is a predicted model, not a curated record.
AAAUUGUAUCAUUCAAUUUGCACACCGUUGCAUUUUUUCCCUUUAAUUUUUGAUGGAGAUAUUUUUUUAAACCUAAUUUAACAAUAACUUUAUACCUGUUUGGAGAAACUGUAAUCUAAUUUAUGACCAGAGUUGUCCAAUGUUUGAAUGAACAUAUUGAAGCAAGGAAGAGUCAUGGGAAAAUCGUUGCAGCUAAUAGAAUGUGGACCGAAUUUGAUUUGAAAGUAUCAGUUGAGUCAAGAGAUUUCACCAAGAAAUCCUAUUUCGAAGAAACACCAUUUCUAAGACUGAUUCAAAGUUGAUUUAAUUGAUUGCGAUGACUGGCUGAAUCAACAAGUUUCAUCAAAAACUCAUAUCUCAAAGAAAUGCCAUUUGCAGUGGCGUAACUGGGUGUUUUGUUAAAACAGCAGAAAGCAAAAAAUUGAGUUGAAUAAAAUCAUUUGAUGGAAAUAUUAAACUAAAUAGUUAUUGUAUUGAUUUGACUCCAGAAAUCUCAAUGGACUCUAAUCGAAUAUCACUUUUUUCAGUUUAUCAUUUAUGCCCGCAAUUUUAGUCAAGAAUCAAUAUUUCCUCUAAAAAAACAUUCGCAGUAAGUGCGCACUUACUGAUUACUCAAUAAAUGCUGUAGUAUACUGUUAUUCACAAUGAUUUGAUUACACAAAAGUCGAUGGAACUUUUUAGUACAAAUCUACAAACUUUUUGUGAAUAUUCUACGCAGAGUGUCAUUUUCAUGCGAACAGUGCAAACCCAGCCGAGAGCUAUUUGUCGUACAAUUAGAUAGACGCAAGUCAAAGGUCACCUAUUGAGAUUAAGACGCACUACGGCAAGACAAGCACAGUUAUUCGUCGCAUUUAACAAACUGUUUUGCAUCGUGAUACAAUAAUUUGGUGAGAUGAAACUCAAAUUGUCCAUCAUAUUGUUUUUAUUCGUUCUCAUUUGCCAAGUUUACUAUUCAACUGCUUGGCCAUUUUCACAAGAAGAUGAUGACGUGCAAAUUAUCAUAGAAGAUGAUAAUGAAGAGCCGCAAUUCUGGCCCUACGAGGGAGAAUCGGUGGAAGAAUUCAGAGACUGGCUUGGAGUUUGAAGAUAUACAUAAAUGCAUUCAACGUUGAAGAAAUAUAUCAAGAGAAGGCUUAAGAGAAAUAAUCGAGAUUGAAUUAGUGUUUAAAGUGUAACAAAAGUAGAUGUAUCGUCGUUAUGUAGUUAGUUUGUGCAAGUUAAAAAGAAAUUGAAAUGAAAUAUCAGUACUGUUGACCAUAAAUCAAAGGUCAUUUGAUAACAAUGUCUAUCGUUUGAAAUUGUUUCCGAAUUCCGGCCAUCAUUCCAUUCCGAUAAAUAAAAUCUACUUCUUUCCCAAUCAGUAUAAGAGAGUAUUUUUUGCAGUGACAAUUUUCAGGUCUAGUUCAACAGUCGUUGGUAGAAGUGUUCAAAAAUGAGUUAUAAAAUUUGCUGUAUACUCUACAUUGUGGCGCUUAUUUGUCAAAUGUGUUCAACGGCCUGCAGUUCUGAAAAAAAGGAUGAUUUUCCCAUAGAUAAUGUUUUUGAAGAUAUUGACUUAUCAAAUGAUGAAACAGAGGAUGGGCAACCCGCACAGAACAUCAAGCGAAGCUAGGCGAAGAUAUCGAUUUUUCGAUUAUUGAAAAUCUCGAAAACUUUUUAUUACUUUAAGGAAAAAUCAUUCAUCGAAUGUUCUUCAAUUUUGGCUGUAAUUUAAAAUAUUUAUGCUUUUGCGAGGUUUUUUUGAGCGUAAAACAUUCACUAUGAAGUUUUUUCCUCCAAUUUUUUUUAUGGUUGGUCCGAGAAAAAAAAAUGUGAACACAUUCAAUUGGAAUGAUCAUGGUUUGUUCAUCAAUCAAGGCUUUGUUCAAUGAAAACGCUUUGAUAAAAAAACUACAGUUUGGUUGAAUCAAACAGAGAUCAAACACACAAAGGACAGCAUAAAUUGUGAAUACGAAAAACUAGACGAACCGGACAUAAUAAUAAUUCAAGUCAGAGUUGAAUUCGCAAGUGAGACUUUUUUUUUGGCAGCAUCAAAUUUUCAUUUCAAAUGCCGUUCAAUGAUAUUUAAUAAGGAAAGUUGUAUGCAUAAAAAUGUUCCAAUAAAAUUAUUUGUAGGUAAACUGAGAAUUUAAUAACCGAUAACGAAUAAUGUGUCAAAUGGAAUAGUAGACAUCGCAAGUUCUUUGAGAUUUGCACUCCUUCUUUUAUUGUCCGUUUUUAGCAAAGCAAAAGUCACACGACUUGUAAUUCCGUUUCAAAGUCUUUAGAGCUCAAGCGGUAUUAGUUCAAGCAUUCAAGUUCAAAUCAGUUAAGCGACAUUUUAGUUUCGUACGUCGAUACAUAAAAAUUUGAAAAGAGGAGCCGUGGAAACAACACCGUGAUCACAAGAGUUAUUUUUUAUAUCGAAUACAUGACUAUUACACGUGAUCAAAUUGAGCGUAUCAAAGGAACUUUGAAUCAAUUGGAACAUUUGGAUAUAGUGUAUUUGAAAUUCGAAGGUGAUUUCUACGAGGAUAUUCUCAAAAUUUGUCCCAAUUAAAAGUUUUUACGCAUAUUUUUUGGGAUGUUCAAACAGUAGGCAUGGAUAAUGAAUGGCUUCUUCGUCAUUAUUUAAAACUUGAAUCCGUUUGGUUUUUUGACAAUGAAAAUCGUAGAGAUGAAAUGGUUGAA